This 513-nucleotide ribosomal RNA is filed under the name uncultured bacterium. RNAcentral's name for it is "bacterial SSU rRNA". It matches the Rfam family "Bacterial small subunit ribosomal RNA", at positions 15 to 518 of the family's 1533-position model. The record is from RNAcentral.
GAUCAUGGCUCAGAACGAACGCUGGCGGCGCGUUUAAGCAUGCAAGUCGAGCGGCAAGGGCCUUCGGGCCCCUAGAGCGGCGGACGGGUGAGUAACACGUGGACAAUCUGCCCCCCGGCCCGGGAUAGCCCAGGGAAACCUGGAUUAAUACCGGAUGAGACGGGACCCGCGAUGGCGGGACCCGGGAAAGGCGCUGCGGCGCCGCCGGGGGAUGAGUCUGCGUCCCAUUAGCUAGACGGCGGGGUAACGGCCCACCGUGGCGACGAUGGGUAGCCGGCCUGAGAGGGUGGACGGCCACAUUGGAACUGAGACACGGUCCAGACUCCUACGGGAGGCAGCAGCUAAGAAUCUUCCGCAAUGGGCGAAAGCCUGACGGAAGCGACGCCGCGUGAACGAAGAAGGCCGUGAGGUUGUAAAGUUCUUUUCGGGAGGGGGAACAACCGUGGCAGGGAAUGGCCGCGGGAUGACGUGAAUCCCGGAAUAAGCCCCGGCUAACUACGUGCCAGCCGCCGC